Molecule: microRNA precursor, 78 nt
Filed under: Schistosoma mansoni
Lineage: Eukaryota; Metazoa; Platyhelminthes; Trematoda; Strigeidida; Schistosomatidae
Description: mir-3492 microRNA precursor family
Rfam family: mir-3492 microRNA precursor family
Source: Rfam by way of RNAcentral
AGCCUUCUGAAUUCGCGCAGUGGUUUCGUCAGACAUCAGAGCAUCAGGACUGAUGAGACUCUUAAUAUAGAUGAGGCA